RNAcentral lists this long non-coding RNA (242 nucleotides) under Rattus norvegicus (Norway rat). RNAcentral's name for it is "long non-coding RNA NONRATT033239". The record is from RNAcentral. Lineage: Eukaryota; Metazoa; Chordata; Mammalia; Rodentia; Muridae.
UUCAUUUGGGUUAAAUGGUAUCAUAUAAGCUAACUCUAUUUAAUGACAUUUAAGUAAAAGUUAUGAAGUAGUGUUAGACUCUGAAAUUAUUUUGACUGCUUCAGAUCUGGAAUCGGACAUCAACAUUGAAGUGUGCUCCUAAAUUUUGCUACUUACACAGUGAACUACUGGAAGUCAUUUUUGUACAUGAAUAGAUCAAAUUUAUCACACAUAUAUUUAACUGUGGGAUGGAACAAUGGUGC